AGAGUUUGAUCCUGGCUCAGAACGAACGCUGGCGGCAGGCCUAACACAUGCAAGUCGAACGAGAAGCCACCUUCGGGUGGUGGACAGUGGCAGACGGGUGAGUAACGCGUGGGAACGUGCCUUUCGGUUCGGGAUAACCCAGGGAAACUUGGGCUAAUACCGGAUACGCCCUUCGGGGGAAAGAUUCAUCGCCGAAAGAUCGGCCCGCGUCGGAUUAGCUAGUUGGUAGGGUAAUGGCCUACCAAGGCGACGAUCCGUAGCUGGUCUGAGAGGAUGACCAGCCACACUGGGACUGAGACACGGCCCAGACUCCUACGGGAGGCAGCAGUGGGGAAUAUUGGACAAUGGGCGAAAGCCUGAUCCAGCCAUGCCGCGUGGGUGAAGAAGGCCUUAGGGUUGUAAACCCCUUUCAGCGGGGAAGAUAAUGACGGUACCCGCAGAAGAAGUCCCGGCUAACUCCGUGCCAGCAGCCGCGGUAAUACGGAGGGGACUAGCGUUGUUCGGAAUUACCGGGCGUAAAGCGCACGUAGGCGGAUUUGUAAGUCAGGGGUGAAAUCCCGAGGCUCAACCUCGGAACUGCCUUUGAUACUGCAAAUCUCGAGUCCGGAAGAGGUGAGUGGAAUUCCUAGUGUAGAGGUGAAAUUCGUAGAUAUUAGGAAGAACACCAGUGGCGAAGGCGGCUCACUGGUCCGGUACUGACGCUGACGUGCGA
This 712-nucleotide ribosomal RNA is filed under the name uncultured Alphaproteobacteria bacterium. RNAcentral's name for it is "bacterial SSU rRNA". It matches the Rfam family "Bacterial small subunit ribosomal RNA", at positions 8 to 756 of the family's 1533-position model. The record is from RNAcentral. Lineage: Bacteria; Pseudomonadati; Pseudomonadota; Alphaproteobacteria.